UCUGGCUCACAAGUUUCCAUACUGCUAAGUCAUCUCUGGACUACCAUCUCCAAGCAGUUGCCUGACAUAUCCCAGAUGUCUAUUUUAGAAGACGACAAAUCAUGUCCUAGAAACGCCUGUUUUCUCUUCGCUGACUGUAACGGCAGUCUAGACAGUGAGCACAGAUGGAGAUCUCAGUAUUUGCUCAGUUUGGUGAUAUUAGAGCUACACCAGCCUGUCUACCCUCCCUUCCAGUCCGAAGGCUGUCUGGGUGGAACUGAUGCUACAACUUGGCGCAGGGUCCCUGUUACCACUGGCUACUGCAGAGGAGGAUGCAAGCCAGCUAUAGUUGAGAAAAGUCAAGUCUUCUUGCCUUACCAUUAACACUGGAAGCUUUAUUAUUAUGAAAUGUUUUUAAAACAGCACUGUCAAAAGGCCAAGAAUGGGGCUCUUUGGGCACUAUACAGCUACAAGGAGGUAGACAGUCACUGCCUGGCUUGUAAUUUAGAGAAGAGAAAAGCAAACAAAAACAAAUCAAGCAAACAAAAUCAACAACAACAAGACACACACAGGGCAGGUGAAGGGGUGUUUCAACUCUAAUUCUGGAAUGACGUCUUCUGUUUGUGAACUCCCUUUCCCCAUGAAUGUCACUUUUGAAUAGCUGCUAUGGGAGAUAUCUAUGUCUGUGCUUCUGAUGGUCCACUAUGGAUAAUACUAAUUGAGUGAAUUUUAAAUAGAAGAUAAGAGUAAAUUUCUCAGAAUCCCUGCCAGAAAAUUGGGUAGUUUGGCUUGGCAGACUGGAAAAAAAGCCUGACAUAUUGUGUCAAUAUCACAGGAUCUGCCUUUCUUUAAAUAUAUAAAAUCUCUCGUGGUUACAGUUUAACAUAUAACCAUUCUCUUUUAAAUUCUGCUUUCAGUAGUUUCUCAGCACAAGAUUCAGCUUCUUCUAUUUGAGUCCUUUUCACAGCAGCCAAGUCUAGAAAUAGAUUUUAACACUUCACAUUUUCAUAAUCACUUUAAUCAAAACUUUAAAGAGCUCUGCAAACAUUUAUUAACACUUGAACAACUCCACAGGUCUGUUGUAGGGGUUUCUCAAAUUAUCCCUAAUGUAUAGACAGAGUAACUAAGGUAACAGUAGGCAAAAAGUAUUUGACUUCCCACUUCCAAGCUGUAGUGUGUUAGCUAUUAGAUAAUUCUUCUCCUGAGAACAGUUUAAUUAUGUAGUGUACAAAUAUUGACUGCUUGUGCUCAAGGCUCACUCUCAAAAUCUCCUUCAGACGUAGCUGCAUCAAUCUAGUUUCACACAGAAAUUAUGGCCUAUUUGCUAAGUUCAUACAGGAAUAUUGGCUGACAGAAACCUGGACUGAAAGUUUCAGUGCGGACC
Molecule: long non-coding RNA, 1363 nt
Filed under: Anser brachyrhynchus (Pink-footed goose)
Lineage: Eukaryota; Metazoa; Chordata; Aves; Anseriformes; Anatidae
Description: lncRNA (ENSABRG00000015095.1)
Source: RNAcentral